UAUACCCGUUAAGGCAUGAUGGCCUGUACCCGAAACCGACACAGGUGGGGUGGUAGAGAAUACCGAGGGGCGCGAGGUAACUCUCUCUAAGGAACUCGGCAAAAUGGCCCCGUAACUUCGGGAGAAGGGGUGCCACCGCAAGGUGGUCGCAGUGAAGAGGCCCAGGCGACUGUUUACCAAAAACACAGGUCUCCGCUAAGUCGCAAGACGAUGUAUGGGGGCUGACGCCUGCCCAGUGCCGGAAGGUUAAGGAAGCUGGUCAGCGCAAGCGAAGCUGGCGACUGAAGCCCCGGUGAACGGCGGCCGUAACUAUAACGGUCCUAAGGUAGCGAAAUUCCUUGUCGGGUAAGUUCCGACCCGCACGAAAGGCGUAACGAUCUGGGCGCUGUCUCGGAGAGAGGCUCGGCGAAAUAGAAUUGUCUGUGAAGAUGCGGACUACGUGCACCCGGACAGAAAGACCCUAUGAAGCUUUACUGUAGCUUGGUAUUGUGCCCGGGCUCUGAAUGCGCAGGAUAGGUGGGAGGCUUUGAUCCAUGGCUUGCGGGUCAUGGUGAGCCAACGGUGAGAUACCACUCUUUCAGAGCUAGGGUUCUAACGGUCACCCGUCAUCCGGGGACCGGACAGUAUCAGGUGGGCAGUUUGACUGGGGCGGUCGCCUCCUAAAAGGUAACGGAGGCGCGCAAAGGUUUGCUCAGGCUGGUUGGAAAUCAGCCGACGAGUGCAAAAGCAGAAGCAAGCUUGACUGUGAGACCUACAAGUCGAACAGGGACGAAAGUCGGCUUUAGUGAUCCGACGGUUCUGAGUGGAAGGGCCGUCGCUCAACGGAUAAAAGUUACUCUAAGGAUAACAGGCUGAUCUCCCCCAAGAGUUCACAUCGACGGGGAGGUUUGGCACCUGAUGUCGGCUCAUCGCAACCUGGGGCUGAAGUCGGUCCCAAGGGUUGGGCUGUUCGCCCAUUAAAGCGGUACGCGAGCUGGGUUCAGAACGUCGUGAGACAGUUCGGUCCAUAUCCGGUGCACGCGCAGGAACAUUGAGAGGAUUUCUCCCUAGUACGAGAGGACCGGGAGGAACGCACCUCUGGUGUGCCAGUUAUCGUGCCAACGGUAAACGCUGGGUAGCCAUGUGCGGAGUGGAUAACCGCUGAAAGCAUCUAAGUGGGAAGCCCACCUCAAGAUGAGUGUUCCCAUGGCAUAAGCCAGUAAGGUCACGGGAAGAACACCCGUUGAUAGGCUCUACGUGGAAGCCGGGUAACCGGUGAAGCGGAGGAGUACU
RNAcentral lists this ribosomal RNA (1272 nucleotides) under metagenome. RNAcentral's name for it is "bacterial LSU rRNA". It matches the Rfam family "Bacterial large subunit ribosomal RNA", at positions 1619 to 2902 of the family's 2925-position model. The record is from RNAcentral.